RNAcentral lists this transfer RNA (78 nucleotides) under Acinetobacter radioresistens SK82. Its description in RNAcentral is "tRNA-Ala". It matches the Rfam family "tRNA". From Rfam's summary of the family: Transfer RNA (tRNA) molecules are approximately 80 nucleotides in length. Their secondary structure includes four short double-helical elements and three loops (D, anti-codon, and T loops). The record is from RNAcentral. Lineage: Bacteria; Pseudomonadati; Pseudomonadota; Gammaproteobacteria; Moraxellales; Moraxellaceae.
UGGGGUCAUAGCUCAGUUGGUAGAGCGCUACAAUGGCAUUGUAGAGGUCAGCGGUUCGAUCCCGCUUGACUCCACCAG